UAAUUCAUAGGUUAAUUGAGGAGCAACUUCAGGCUGGUCAUAUAGAACCAACAUUUAGUCCUUGGAACACACCUAUUUUUGUUAUUAAGAAAAAGUCAAUUAAAAAAAAAGCAAAAGUCAGGAAAUUGGAGAUUGCUACAGGAUUUAAGGGUGAUAAAUCAUGCAAUUAGGCCUAUGGGAUCAUUACAGCCAGGACUUCCCUCCCCCACAGCCAUCACUUUAGACUAUAGCUUGAUGGUAAUAGAUUUAAAAGACUGUUUUUUCUCUAUAAGGUUACAUCCUGGAGAUUGUGAAAGAUUUGCUUUCAC
This 308-nucleotide small RNA is filed under the name Marmota monax (woodchuck). The record is from RNAcentral. Lineage: Eukaryota; Metazoa; Chordata; Mammalia; Rodentia; Sciuridae.